CUUCUACCUUUGCAAAUGGAAGAGGGUGCUCUGGGCCAGCCUGGGGAGGUGGCUCCUAAACGGUGGAGACCUCGAAGAAUCCGAUUUCAGGAUGAUGGAUCGAGUUUAUGUAUUUAUUGUGCUAAGAGACUGAACCCGGGACUUCAUGCAUGCAAGGCAAGAGCUUUGGAACUAUACCCCCGGCUCCGGAGUUGUAAUGUUCACACCAAAUAAAGCCACUCGACCAAGUUCAGAAAAGUUCAGGAACCGUGUGCCAGAAUUUCAGUCUGACAGAAGAUCUCAAUUUGAGAAUUGAGGUUGGUAAAAAUCCAGGAACACCCCACCCAGCAACCCCAGUUCAGCAAGUUUGGGGAACCUUUUGCCACAGCUUUCAGAAAAG
This 379-nucleotide long non-coding RNA is filed under the name Rattus norvegicus (Norway rat). RNAcentral describes it as "long non-coding RNA NONRATT032192". The record is from RNAcentral. Lineage: Eukaryota; Metazoa; Chordata; Mammalia; Rodentia; Muridae.